GAUGAAUACAUUUCCACUAAUCCAAGUGACUUGCAUUUUCCUGCUAUCUUCUUUUUGGACAGGAAGCCUCUUUUUUGCCAGCUAUUGCCACGUUGCCUGGAUGCUGCAGUGUGAGGAGGGAGCUGCUGCUGCUGACCAUUUGGCUGGCAAGCUGUGGCCAGGUGGCCACGGAUCAGUGUGAGGGGCAGGUGCCUGACAGGGUGCUGGGAGCUGCCAACAUCUACCAGGCCCUGCUGACGUGGCUGCUGUCCCUGGUGCCUCCUGUGACGAGGAAGGAUGGUCCCAAAGCUCCAUUUGAGGUGGUGGGGCUGCAGCAGGCCUGGACAGAGGAAGGCUUGGCCCUGUAUGCCUGCUUGGUGGCACCAGAGGAACCUCCAGCCCAGAGCCACGAGGCAGCAGCUGCAGAACAUCUCCAGGGAUCACCCAGCUUUUACCAGAAGAUUUCUGCAUUUCUGACUUCUACAUGGCUUCCAGACCUUAUCUGGUGGAGAGAUGAACUGGCCAGUCACUUCCAAAAGCAGCUGUGCCCACUUGUUCCUGCAGUUCCCUCUGUCCUGCUCAGUAACAUCACUGCUGUUAAUCCUGACCCUCAGGUUGCCAUGGUGCUGCUGUUUGAGGCUCUCUUCCAAAACCCCCUGGAGACCCAUCACACUCUGAGGCUGCUGCUGGGCUCUGGGCUGGAUGUCUGCGGCCUCCGCCUGCUCUACCCCGGCCAGGAGCUGCUGCUCUCCAGCUCAGGUGGGCUCUGCCUCUCCUCCAGAGCUUCCCUGACCUGUAACUGCACUGAGGUGAAGGGUGAUCAGUCACAUUUGCAUGAGGGUUGCUUUAUCAGUUGCUCUAUCUUUCCCAAAAGAAAUGAUAGAAUAGCUUUGACCCUUCCCUUCCCUUCCCUUCCCUUCCCUUCCCUUCCCUUCCCUUCCCUUCNAAGAUUAACAAAAUUGCAUUAAAUGGAAUUUAAAUACUAGUUCCUAGUAAAUGAUAAAAUAAUUAAUAUGUCCAGCAACCUGUACUAAACUCUGCAGCCAUCUGAAGGGAACAUGCACACUGGGGAGGGAGGAUGUGCAGAGAACAC
Molecule: long non-coding RNA, 1072 nt
Filed under: Zonotrichia albicollis (white-throated sparrow)
Lineage: Eukaryota; Metazoa; Chordata; Aves; Passeriformes; Passerellidae
Description: lncRNA (ENSZALG00000004224.1)
Source: RNAcentral